GAGGAAUACCGAUGGCGAAGGCAGCCAUCUGGCCUAACACUGACGCUGAGGUACGAAAGCAUGGGGAGCAAACAGGAUUAGAUACCCUGGUAGUCCAUGCCGUAAACGAUGUCUACUAGCCGUUGGUCUCUUUGAGGGAUUAGUGGCGCAGCUAACGCGAUAAGUAGACCGCCUGGGGAGUACGGUCGCAAGACUAAAACUCAAAUGAAUUGACGGGGGCCCGCACAAGCGGUGGAGCAUGUGGUUUAAUUCGAUGCAACGCGAAGAACCUUACCUGGUCUUGACAUAGUAAGAACUUUCCAGAGAUGGAUUGGUGCCUUCGGGAACUUACAUACAGGUGCUGCAUGGCUGUCGUCAGCUCGUGUCGUGAGAUGUUGGGUUAAGUCCCGCAACGAGCGCAACCCUUUUCCUUAUUUGCCAGCACUUUGGGUGGGAACUUUAAGGAUACUGCCAGUGACAAACUGGAGGAAGGCGGGGACGACGUCAAGUCAUCAUGGCCCUUACGACCAGGGCUACACACGUGCUACAAUGGUCGGUACAAAGGGUUGCUACCUAGCGAUAGGAUGCUAAUCUCAAAAAGCCGAUCGUAGUCCGGAUUGGAGUCUGCAACUCGACUCCAUGAAGUCGGAAUCGCUGGUAAUCGCGGAUCAGAAUGCCGCGGUGAAUACGUUCCCGGGCCUUGUACACACCGCCCGUCACACCAUGGGAGUUUGUUGCACCAGAAGUGGAUAGUCUAACUGCAAAGAGGACGUUCACCACGGUGUGGCCGAUGACUGGGGUGAAGUCGUA
This 789-nucleotide ribosomal RNA is filed under the name uncultured bacterium. RNAcentral describes it as "bacterial SSU rRNA". It matches the Rfam family "Bacterial small subunit ribosomal RNA", at positions 701 to 1490 of the family's 1533-position model. The record is from RNAcentral.